UACGAAGGGGGCUAGCGUUGUUCGGAAUUACUGGGCGUAAAGCGCGCGUAGGCGGUGAUCUUUGUCAGAGGUGAAAGCCUGGGGCUCAACUCCAGAAUUGCCUUUGAAACGGGAUUGCUUGAGUCCGAGAGAGGAUGGCGGAAUUCCUAGUGUAGAGGUGAAAUUCGUAGAUAUUAGGAAGAACACCAGUGGCGAAGGCGGCCCACUGGAUCGGUACUGACGCUGAGGUGCGAAAGCGUGGGGAGCAAACAGG
RNAcentral lists this ribosomal RNA (253 nucleotides) under uncultured bacterium. RNAcentral describes it as "partial 16S ribosomal RNA". It matches the Rfam family "Bacterial small subunit ribosomal RNA", at positions 524 to 776 of the family's 1533-position model. The record is from RNAcentral.